AUGGCCACCGUCUCCUUCUCAUCCCCGGCGUCCUUCGCCGGCGACAACAGCGGUGCCCUUACCUCCGCCACCAUCCUCCGUUUCCCGCCCAACUUCGUCCGCCAGCUCAGCACCAAGGCCCGCCGCAACUGUAGCAACAUAGGCGUCGCGCAGAUCGUCGCCGCCGCUUGGUCCGAUCGCCGAGCCGUCACCUCCCACUCCGGCGGCGGAAGCAGCGUCCGCGGCACCUCCUCCCAUGCCGCGGCCGCAUCCGCCGCCACCUCUGCGGCGGCGGCUGCCGAGGUUGGCGCCAUUCCUAACGCCAAGCUCGCGCAGCCGUCCGCCGCCGCAUUGGCCGAGCGUGCCCUGCUCGGUUCGGAUGCUAGCCUCGCCGUCCACGCAGGCGAGAGGCUUGGGAGAAGGAUCGCCACAGACGCGAUCACCACGCCAGUAGUGAACACCUCCGCCUACUGGUUCAGUAGCUCGCAGGAGCUGAUCGAUUUCAAGGAGGGGAGGCAUGCUAGCUUCGAAUACGGGAGGUAUGGGAACCCGACCACUGAGGCUUUGGAGAAGAAGAUGAGUGCACUGGAGAAAGCCGAGUCCACUGUCUUUGUGGCGUCAGGGAUGUAUGCAAGCGUCGCUAUGCUCAGCACACUUGUCCCAGCAGGUGGGCACAUUGUUACAACCACAGAUUUGUACCGCAAGACAAGAAUUUACAUGGAGACUGAGCUCCCCAAGAGGGGAAUUACGAUGACUGUUAUUAGACCUGCUGACAUGGAUGCUCUUCAAGAUGCACUUGAUAAUAAUAAUGUAUCUUUAUUCUUCACUGAGACUCCUACUAAUCCAUUUCUCAGAUGCAUUGAUAUUGAGCUUGUCUCCAAUAUGUGCCAUAACAAGGGAGCAUUGCUAUGCAUUGAUAGCACCUUUGCCUCCCCUAUCAAUCAGAAAGCACUGACUUUAGGUGCUGACAUAGUUGUUCAUUCUGCAACGAAGUAUAUUGCUGGGCACAAUGAUGUUAUUGGAGGCUGUAUCAGUGGCAGGGACGAGCUAGUCUCCAAGGUCCGCAUUUAUCACCAUGUAGUUGGUGGUGUUCUAAACCCGAAUGCUUCCUAUCUGAUCCUCCGGGGCAUGAAAACACUACAUCUCCGUGUUCAGUGCCAGAAUAGUACUGCUCUGCGGAUGGCCCAGUUUUUAGAGGAACAUCCAAAGAUUGCACGUGUAUACUAUCCUGGCUUGCCAAGUCACCCUGAACAUCACAUUGCCAAGAGCCAAAUGACUGGCUUUGGUGGUGUUGUCAGCUUUGAGGUUGAUGGGGACUUCGACUCUACUAGAAAAUUCAUUGAUUCUGUCAAGAUACCCUACCAUGCCCCUUCAUUUGGGGGUUGUGAGAGCAUAAUUGAUCAGCCUGCCAUCAUGUCCUACUGGGAUUCGAAGGAGCAGAGAGACAUUUAUGGAAUCAAGGACAACCUGAUCAGGUUCAGCAUCGGAGUCGAGGAUUUUGAGGACUUGAAGAAUGACAUUGUUCAGGCCCUCAACAAGAUCUAA
RNAcentral lists this ribosomal RNA (1524 nucleotides) under Triticum aestivum (bread wheat). RNAcentral describes it as "partial small subunit ribosomal RNA". Lineage: Eukaryota; Viridiplantae; Streptophyta; Magnoliopsida; Poales; Poaceae. The record is from RNAcentral.